Molecule: long non-coding RNA, 245 nt
Filed under: Capsicum annuum
Lineage: Eukaryota; Viridiplantae; Streptophyta; Magnoliopsida; Solanales; Solanaceae
Description: long non-coding RNA (CANN_LNC015757)
Source: RNAcentral
GCGGGCAUCUUCCUCCCCAGUGUUGUUCUACAACACACAGACAUCACUACUAGAAUUAGAGAGCCUAACUUGGUUCCUUAUUCUAUUAUCUCCCCCUUAGCUUUAAGUGAUCAUUAUAAGUAUUUGGACCCCUUUAAUAAACUCUAAACUGAACUACAACCACUUAACUCUAGAGUCUGAAUAUAACAAUACACAUAAAUAAUAAACUCACCUUGAAAGACUACACCUGAAAGUAUAAAACCCAC